RNAcentral lists this ribosomal RNA (252 nucleotides) under uncultured bacterium. RNAcentral's name for it is "partial 16S ribosomal RNA". It matches the Rfam family "Bacterial small subunit ribosomal RNA", at positions 524 to 776 of the family's 1533-position model. The record is from RNAcentral.
UACAGAGGUCUCAAGCGUUGUUCGGAUUCAUUGGGCGUAAAGGGUGCGUAGGUGGCGCGGUAAGUCGGGUGUGAAAUUCGGAGCUUAACUCCGAAACUGCAUUCGAUACUGCCGUGCUUGAGGACUGGAGAGGAGACUGGAAUUUACGGUGUAGCAGUGAAAUGCGUAGAGAUCGUAAGGAAGGCCAGUGGCGAAGGCGAGUUCCUGGACAGUGACUGACGCUGAGGCACGAAGGCCAGGGGAGCAAACGGG